Molecule: ribosomal RNA, 253 nt
Filed under: uncultured bacterium
Lineage: Bacteria
Description: partial 16S ribosomal RNA
Rfam family: Bacterial small subunit ribosomal RNA
Source: RNAcentral
UACGGAGGGGGCGAGCGUUAUUCGGAAUUAUUGGGCGUAAAGGGCGCGUAGGCGGCUUGAUGUGUCAAAGGUGAAAUCCCUCGGCUCAACUGAGGAACUGCCUUUGAAACUGUCUGGCUUGAGGUCGGGAGAGGGUAGCGGAAUUCCCAGUGUAGCGGUGAAAUGCGUAGAUACUGGGAGGAACACCGGUGGCGAAGGCGGCUACCUGGACCGGAACUGACGCUGAGGCGCGAAAGCGUGGGUAGCAAACAGG